GGAAGUUCGAAGCCAUUGAAAGCUAAUCAAACGGAGAGAAACGGAGCUCGAUAAACGGAACUCUCCCGCAUUGGGGGGCGGCGGCAAAUGUUCGCCAAUUGGGGGCCACGCUUGAUUGAUUCGCUUUAGUUAUUUGUUUUUGCAAUUCAUUUGCAUUUCAGUUCUCAACGGUUGAGUGCGCGAGUUUUAAUUAAAUCAAAUAUGGGCGUGGGCAGGCCUACAGAUAUCGUCUUAUCCGUUCGUCUUCUACUUGCUGCCCUCUACUAAACGCCCUAUGCAGCUCAAUCAGUUGAACAGCUCAAAUGAAAACUCACAAUUUUCUGCUGCUCUGCCGUGUGGCAAGCAAUUUCCAAGACGCAACGACGGAAACUAUUUUCGCGGCUCAUUUAACGGGCUUUGCCCGGCAGGCAAAUAACUAAAAAAAAGAAUCAUAAAAAAUAUGAAAUAUAUAUAAAUAUUUUUCAUUGCUUGCGGGCAAGUGUGUUACACGGUUAAACCAAUUUACCAGCUAGCUACCCUAACCACCCGACACGGCAUCUACGGCGAUUGCGAGCAUGCCUCACUGCAUCCACGCCCACAAAUCGUGUGCCAUAUAUCCUGCAGGCAAGUUUGAAGAGAUAGCAAAGAUUGUUGGGACGUGAGACAUUUGAGCAGCUGUUGCAGGGGCAAUGGACACUUAAUGGGCGAGCUCUACCUCUGCGGUGAUUAUAGAGUAUAUUUACAUACACAUUUAUAGCUAUACAUAUUUAUAUUUAAGACUCAUUUCAUGGCCUGUCUCGCACUUUUCACUCGCAAAAAUUAAAAGCCUCCAGCUUUGGGUCGCGCACAAAAAGAAACGAGCAAAACUCACAACGAAAGUUGACGACAAAAUGCUGACAAACUGCAACAGCGACGGCGACGGCGACGACGACUGCGACUGCGACAGUGACUGUGUGGAAACUGUUUGGCUGUUAUCAUAAAUAAAGAGCGCCAAAUGUCAAACGUUGUCCGGGUUAUAAUAUCAUAAACUAAAUGCAAGUGGCGCAGAAAUCAAACAUGCAACAUUUCGAGCAUUCGAACAAUUCACGAUUUAUUGGCCAUGUUCAUAAUGUUGCGACUGGCAGUUGGAGCGGCUGGAGCGGGCCUGCACUUUUUAAACUGAAUUGUUUCCGGGAACUGUUGCUCCAACACCAACAACAAUGGCACACAACAGCAACAACAAAAAC
This is a long non-coding RNA of Drosophila mojavensis, 1205 nucleotides long. RefSeq lists it as uncharacterized. The transcript has 2 exons. NCBI's taxonomy places the organism in Eukaryota, Metazoa, Arthropoda, Insecta, Diptera, Drosophilidae. The record is from RefSeq and is a predicted model, not a curated record.